UUUAAUGAUUUUCCAGCGAAUUGACUUUUAUUUAUGUGUUGAUAUUUAUUAUGAUUGAGAAUGAGUUCGAUUUAUGAUUUUAUUAGCGUUUUUGAGUAAAAGCAUGAUAUUAGAAUUGAGCAGAUUUGAGAUAUGUUGAAUAGAAAGAAAAUGAGAUUUCAGAUGGGAUCAUAUGUUUACUAUUAGUUUUGAAAUCAUUAGACAGUACCUUUCCCUCCAGAUACAGAGAUACAGAUAAAAAGAGAUACAGAUAAGAGAUACAGAUAAGAUGAGAUAGAGGCCUUUGGGGCCCGUCGGGACACACAUAGAGGCUUUGGGCCGUGUGUUCGGGCGCUUUUGCCUUUUGGGGGCUUAUGCAUGCACAGUACAGAUAUAUGAGAUAAGAGAUAUGAGAUAUGAGAUGAGAUCGUCCCCAUCUAUCCGUUGUGGCUCCGGGGCGUGACGUUACCCAGAUAGUGCGUUAUUGCCUGGCCGUUGUAGCCCGGAUAUGAUCAGAUUAUCCCCUGGGUACUUGUUUGAUGACAGUUUUUAGUAUUCAGUAUUUAAUAUGAGUAUGGUGAUUCCAUCGAUUUUAUGCAGAUUUAUUAUUGCAGUUAUUCAAUUUGAAUUAAAUGAGUUUAUGAUAUUUUGAGAAAUUGAUUUGAGAAUUGAUUUACGAAAUUGAAAUUGAUUUAAGAAAAGAUUUGAGAAAGAUUAAAUGAUUUUGAAUAAUUUAUUAAAGUAUCAGCACCUACUAUCCACUCACUGAGCUCACAGAGUUUUAUACUCACCCCUCUUUUAUUAUAUUUUUCCCCCCCACGGGAGAUUUACAGGUACAUCAGUCAACCCAGUAGUGAACGUUAGUUUGAUAUUGUGGUCACGUGAUGAUGCUAGAAGUCGUGGAUUUUAUUAUUAUAUUCGAAAUUUGUGUUAUUAUUUUAUGUUAUUAAGGAUAAUCGUUGUAUUUUAAUAUUCGGAUGAUUUUGGUGAUAUUUGAUAAGUUGAUUUGAGAAGUUGGUUUGAGAAGUUGGUUAUGGAGGAUGUUUGGUUAUUAAAUUAUUUCGAGAGUGUUAUUUUGUCAAUUGCAGGGUUGGAUAUGUUUUAUUUAUAAGGGAGACUCUGCCGAAAUUUUUAUAGAAUUGUUAUUAAUUCGAUUUUACGAGUUUAGAUAGACUCGCCCUGGGGGAGGUUGCGGGGCGGGUCGUUUCAAAUCAAAUAAAAUUAUGUAAAAACUACAUAACAAUGAAGCCCUUGGGGCUAGAAAAAAAAUUACAAGUUUAUGACUAUGAAACACAAAUAGAUUAACCAAAAGAAUUAAUGAAGAGAAUACGAAGCAUUGGUCUGAAUCAUGAAUUAUCUAUGUAUUUCUUUUUGUUGCUUUAGAAUAAAAAGUUAUUAUCUUAUGCUUUUAUCUAAAUUAGUAAUUUUUCAAAUAGGCACAAGUUGGGAUCAGAGAAUUUUAUUAUUUAAUACAGAUAUAUGAGAUAAGAGAUAUGAGAUAUGAGAUGAGAACGUCCCCAUCUAUCCGUUGUGGCUCCGGGGCAUGACGUUACCCAGAUAGUGCGUCAUUGCCUGGCCGUUGUAGCCCGGAUAUGAUCAGAUUAUCCCCUGGGUACUUGUUUGAUGACAGUUUUUAGUAUUCAGUAUUUAAUAUGAGUAUGGUGAUUCCAUCGAUUUUAUGCAGAUUUAUUAUUGCAGUUAUUCAAUUUGAAUUAAAUGAGUUUAUGAUAUUUUGAGAAAUUGAUUUGAGAAUUGAUUUACGAAAUUGAAAUUGAUUUAAGAAAAGAUUUGAGAAAGAUUAAAUGAUUUUGAAUAAUUUAUUAAAGUAUCAGCACCUACUAUCCACUCACUGAGCUCACAGAGUUUUAUACUCACCCCUCUUUUAUUAUAUUUUUCCCCCCACAGGAGAUUUACAGGUACAUCAGUCAACCCAGUAGUGAACGUUAGUUUGAUAUUGUGGUCACGUGAUGGUGCUAGAAGUCGUGGAUUUUAUUAUUAUAUUCGAAAUUUGUGUUAUUAUUUUAUGUUAUUAAGGAUAAUCGUUGUAUUUUAAUAUUCGGAUGAUUUUGGUGAUAUUUGAUAAGUUGAUUUGAGAAGUUGGUUUGAGAAGUUGGUUAUGGAGGAUGUU
This 2107-nucleotide long non-coding RNA is filed under the name Citrus sinensis (sweet orange). RNAcentral describes it as "long non-coding RNA (CSIN_LNC000025)". The record is from RNAcentral. Lineage: Eukaryota; Viridiplantae; Streptophyta; Magnoliopsida; Sapindales; Rutaceae.